This 494-nucleotide ribosomal RNA is filed under the name uncultured bacterium. Its description in RNAcentral is "partial 16S ribosomal RNA". It matches the Rfam family "Bacterial small subunit ribosomal RNA", at positions 28 to 507 of the family's 1533-position model. The record is from RNAcentral.
GACGAACGCUGGCGGCGUGCUUAACACAUGCAAGUCGAACGGUGAAGCGCCUUCCUUUUUGGUGGGUGUGGAUGAGUGGCGAACGGGUGAGUAACACGCGAGUAACCUGCCCCCUUCUUCUGGAUAACCGCAUGAAAGUGUGGCUAAUACGGGAUAUUCUGGGUCUGUCGCAUGAUGGGUCUGGGAAAGAUAUUGUUUCGGUGGGGGAUGGGCCCGCGGCCUACCAGCUUGUUGGUGGGGUGAUGGCCUACCAAGGCGGUGACGGGUAGCCGGCCUGAGAGGGUGGACGGUCACACUGGGACUGAGACACGGCCCAGACUCCUACGGGAGGCAGCAGUGGGGAAUAUUGCACAAUGGGCGCAAGCCUGAUGCAGCGACGCCGCGUGAGGGAUGGAGGCCUUCGGGUUGCGAACCUCUUUCGCCAGUGAAGCAGGCCUGCCUCGUUUGUGGGUGGGUUGACGGUAGCUGGAUAAGAAGCGCCGGCUAACUACGUG